Daphnia pulicaria is the source of this 430-nucleotide long non-coding RNA. RefSeq lists it as uncharacterized. The record is from RefSeq and is a predicted model, not a curated record. NCBI's taxonomy places the organism in Eukaryota, Metazoa, Arthropoda, Branchiopoda, Diplostraca, Daphniidae. The transcript has 3 exons.
UCGAAAGUUACAAAUGGACACAUAGGUUAAUUCGAGUAAUUUCGUUUGUGACUUGUCGGUGAUGUGUUCUAUUCCGUGUACAUGUUGGAUAACCUUAGUGUUUCUCACCAACUUACAGGAGGAAACGUAGCCUACCGUUGACUAUUUUGUUCAACAUGUGCCAUCGAAAUGACACAGGAUUCAUUAUAAUUAUCUGCUGUAAGAAUUGGACUUGCUAGAUCACCAACCCCAUCACAGACAAAUCUCUCAUUCCAUCUUCUAGAGAACCUUGGCUAACUGUUCGGUGGUUUCAAGUGUUUGAAACUAUAGGUUUCUAAAUUUGCAUGACAGACUUUAAGUACAGUCAUGUUGAAGAAAAAGGACUGACUGACAGUCAACAAUUUACACUACCUUGUUUGGUAACCUGUUGGUUGCUUCCCUUGAAUCUCCC